GCUCCAAUAGCGUAUAUUAAAGUUGUUGCAGUUAAAAAGCUCGUAGUUGAACUUGGGCCUUGGCUGGCCGGUCCGCCCUUAACGGCGUGUACUUGUCCGGCCGGGCCUUUUCCUUCUGGGAACCCGGCAUCCCUUCACUGGGUGUGUUGGGGAACCCGGACUUUUACUUUGAAAAAAUUAGAGUGUUCAAAGCAGGCCUUUGCUCGAAUACAUUAGCAUGGAAUAAUAGAAUAGGACGUGCGGUCCUAUUUUGUUGGUUUCUAGGGCCGCCGUAAUGAUUAAUAGGGACAGUCGGGGGCAUCAGUAUUGAGUUGUAGAGGUGAAAUUCUUGGAUUUAUUGAAGACUGACUACUGCGAAAGCAUUUGCCAAGGAUGUUUUCAUUAAUCAGUGAACGAAAGUUAGGGGAUCGAAGA
Molecule: ribosomal RNA, 414 nt
Filed under: Mollisia scopiformis
Lineage: Eukaryota; Fungi; Ascomycota; Leotiomycetes; Helotiales; Mollisiaceae
Description: SSU rRNA
Rfam family: Eukaryotic small subunit ribosomal RNA
Source: RNAcentral